CAGAACCAGAGACACAUCUCUAUUAUUCAUAUUCCUGUCCUGUAGAUCCACCCGGUUCUUAAAAGAUGGAUGCUGACCAUCUGGAUCCAGCCGGUCAUCCCGGAAAAAAAGCACAUAAUUAUCUCCCAGAGACUGAUACAGCUGUGGUCUACUCAGCAGUAAGAGCUGAAGACAUCAGGAAUGGACAAACAACCAUCAGAACAAGGCGAUCCAGGUCUAGCUGCCUUUUACCAGAAACAAGACUUUAAACCAGAGCCAGACGCCGUCUACUCUUCACUGAAGUAGUCCACCAGUCCAACCACUGACGUCCAGCUGCUGGUCUCUAACUGGUCCCCCUAGCACCUCAGACCAUCUUCAUGUUUGAAGAUGUUUUUAUAAUUGUUUUCUAUUUUUUUUUAGCUUUAUGUUGUUAUUGUUUUUUCACUUUCUAGACUCAAAUGACUCAAAUGCAAAAUUUUGUUAUGUUACUAUGUCCCAUGUCCUCGGUAACUGGUUGGAAUUGUUGUAGUAUGUUUGUGAUUGUUUGCUCUUGUUUCCCCGUCAGUGAUCUGGUUUCACUGGUUUUCUUCAUGUGGUUCUGUGGGUUUCAAAAAACUGUCACAUGGAAAAUCUGACUAGUGUGAUUGUUGCUAACACACACACAGCUUUAAUGCAGAAAGCAAAGAAUAAACAUUAAACUACAACCACAGACUGAACACAGCAGAAGCAUCAUUCAGUGGCCACAGAAAACCUUCAUGAUGUUUGUGUUUGAUGUGCUUGAUGCUUGUGUUUUUAUUUCUCUCUCCUCAAACACCAGAUGUCAGUAGAGUGCAGAUUGCAGUGACAUGAAAUCUGUUUUCUCACCUCUUCCAAUUUAUAAUCCUACCUACAGAGGCUGCUGAGGGACAGACAACUCUGGCUGACAUUUAUCUGUAGUGACUGUGAGUCAAAAAAUAGAAUGAUAAUAAAAACUAAAGCGAAACUAAAAUAUCAGCCAAUGGUUCAAAACUAAACAUCAGCAAUAGAAACCUGUUAAAGUUUCACUGAUGAUCUGUUUGUAUCCAUGUUAGUAUUUAAAGUCCAACAUCUCCCUCUAGUGGCCAUAUAUAAACAUGUGUGAGGAUGGUGUUAAUGUAAACUGUGAAUCAUAGUGUUCCAGUCAGUCAUCAGUGUGUCUCUGCACAGCUGUAAUUAAAAUG
Oreochromis aureus is the source of this 1178-nucleotide long non-coding RNA. RefSeq lists it as uncharacterized. NCBI's taxonomy places the organism in Eukaryota, Metazoa, Chordata, Actinopteri, Cichliformes, Cichlidae. The transcript is spliced from 3 exons. The record is from RefSeq and is a predicted model, not a curated record.